Long non-coding RNA from Phyllostomus discolor (pale spear-nosed bat), 6571 nucleotides. RefSeq lists it as uncharacterized. The record is from RefSeq and is a predicted model, not a curated record. The transcript has 2 exons. NCBI's taxonomy places the organism in Eukaryota, Metazoa, Chordata, Mammalia, Chiroptera, Phyllostomidae.
AAAAUUUAAGUAGGUCUGAAGGAUGGUCUAGGCUCUUUUAACCUUUGAGGGUUUGUCAGAGCUGAUCUGCCUGUGGUGAAUUUUUCUCAGGAUAGCUGUAAAAGGAAGUGAACAUGGAUUAGAAUAAUCUGAACCUUAAGAUUUUACAGGUUAGAUAUCAGCUUUCUCAUAAAUAGGCUUUGCUUUCUCAGCUCCUAAUUUUUCAUAUUUUGUUAGGAUAUUUCAUAUGACUAUCUCAGGAAAUCUGUCAUUCCCACUUUUAUAGUUGUGUAAGUGUGGCUUACAAUUUAGAAUUCUGCCUACUUCUGAGUUCAAAAGAGCUAUGUUGUUGAAUGACAUGAUAAAACAUUAAUAUUUUAUAAUUCUCCACAGACAAACAGAACCAUGCAUCAUGGCUAAGAUGAGCACAGCAGAAUGCAUCAAGGGAAAGUGCAAAAAGGAGAUUCAUUACACAAGGUUCUAUUUACACACAGGAACAAUAACAUUCCUUGAGCACUUAGUCUAUGCCAGGCACAGUUCUAAAUAUUUUAUAUGUAUUCACAUAUUUAAUGCUGAUAGCGAAACUUAGGAUGCAUGUGCUAUUGUCUCUACGUUUUAUAGAUGAGAAAACUGAAACAUAUACUGAAUCAGUAAUUUGAUCAAUGUCAAAUUGUUGGUAAGUGGAAAAGAUGAGGUUAAAAGGCAAGCAAUUUGGCAUUAGAUUAUACACCUUUAUUUUUCCAUAUUGCCUAUGAUCAACACUAAUCAUCUUGCUUUUACCAGGUAUACUGCUUAAUUAAGAUUGCCAGUGAUGGUGGAGAUACCUGUGAUGUAUUGUGACAAAGCUGCAUAAUAAACCACUGAAAAGUUCAGGGUCUUAACAAUGAGUGUUUAUGCAAUAUUAUAACAGUGUAUCACUGGGAUUCAGCUGAUCAAGGCUAGGUGUGGCUGAACUUGCCUGGGUUCAUUCCUUCUCUGCAAAUGGUUCUAUUUCAUUUGCCUCUCCACCAGUCUCAACUUGCAUCUUUUUUUACCAAUAUUUUAUUGGCCCAAUGAAACCACUUCAAGAGUUUCAGAGUGUGAGGGCCCUACCAAAGAUAUAUAACAAUGGGUAUGAAAUAGGAAGAAGAAAUAUUUGAGUCAUUAGAUCAAUCUACUAUAAUUAGUAACAAGGAAAGUGAAUUGGGUUGGAAAUUAAAUUCUAUUCUAUUCAUUCAUCCAUUCAUUCAUUUCUUCAGUAAGCUCUCUUAGGUUUCAUACAUAAGUGCUAUUCUUAUAUCCUAGACAUACCAAGAUAAAAUUCAGAGUUGAAUCUUCAAAAAGACUUGUAAUCUUAUGGGUGAGACAGAUAAGUCAAUAUUUACAAUACACCACAGUAUUGCCAAGAAUUACAUUAUAAGAACAAAGUCUAAAGCUCCCAAGAAGGGUUGUGUUAAGGAAAGGGAAGGAAGAAAUGGGAGUAGUGAUUCUCCUAAGAUAUUCUUUGGGCUGAAUCUUGAAAUGUAAGUAAUUCACAUAAGAGAACAAAAAUCAUGCAUUUAUUAUAAGCAGCAGGGUGUCAAGAGAUAAAGCUAUAGAAGUCAGAUCAUGAAGGGAUUUCCAUGUCACCCUAAACAGCACAAACUAUCCUGAAGAUGGUAUAAGGCUAUGAAAUUUAAAGCAUAUUAUCAAACUUUGUACAGAAGGUAUAAACAAUGCCUGAAAAAUUUUCUUAUGGAUAGUUUAGAAAUUCAUGAAUAGGUAAGUAAGUGGUACCCUAUAGACAAAAGCCUUCUUUAAUAUUCCUGCAUUUUGAAGUUCUCAAAUACACUUUCUUACUGAUUUUCCCAUAAGGGAAUCAGGCCCUGAAUGACUAGAUCACAGUUAUUAAUAAAAAAAACAUGCACAGUAAGCACCAAAAGGAUCAAUCUAUGUAUAUGCACUAAGAAAUACAACCUUCACCCAAAUUGUGAAGGUCUGAGCCAGCAGAGCUGACGCAUGGGCUCCCAAUGGCCAAACUCUGUGGCCAGUUCAGUAAAGAUGAUCAAAGCUUGUUUUGUUGAUUUACUGUCAAAUAUGGCAGUGGCAGGGCAAAAGCAGCAAGGGAUGCAGACAUGGGGAUCAGAUUUCUUGGUGGACAUGGAAUGAAAACAAGGGAGUUAGAUGAAUUGUAUGUUUAUGGCAACAGGUAAGAAAACCUGUUGUUCAAUCUCACAAUAGUAUUGGAGUUUUAUUCAGAUGAGAAGGACUUGAGGGCUCCCUGGCUCCAAACCCAAGGGCCGGCCUUGCCAGUGGGAUAUGAAUAAUUUGAUGUCCAACUAGGGUCCCUUCUUUAAUUCAUAGUUUGUUAUUACUUACCCAAAGAUAUGACUACUUUUCUUGCUUCUUUAUGGUUAACUGAUGCCUCUUCAGUGUGGCACAUUUUUUUUAAAUAUAUUAACACUUCAACCAGAAGCUAUCUGGUCUGUCAUACAACUGCUGAUCUAUGCAUAGUCUAAUAUUGAUUUAUAAUUUGUCUCCUAGAGAACCAAUUAUUUCUGUCAUUGUCAAUAUUCCUAGUGUUGUAGCCUCUCAAUAUAAAACAAACACGCAAACAAAAACAAGGACACUAGAAUGUGCAGCCAAAGAUUAUUAUAUGAACAUACAUAUGCAGUCAAGUUUUAAAAAAAAAACAGAUGUUUUUGGUGAUUUAACGAUGUUUAAUAAUGGAUCUCCACUGGUAAGUUUUGACCUGCAAUAAAAACAUGUGAGUUUCUCUAAGUUACUUAGAUCAAUAUAUUCAGGAAAACAUAUUUCUUAUUCACAGAAAAUUUUAACUUCAAGUAAUACAUCUUUCUAAUUAUAUAGUAAAAGGCAAUGGAUACCUCCAGGUAAUUUUUGAAACAGGAGAAGAAACAAUUUGUUCUCUGAUUUCCAAUUUUCUUUUCCUAUGUUCUUUAUUACCAUGAGCAAAAUAUUUGAAUGAAAUAGGAUUUUUGUUUAUAGAAGACUAUCUUCUGUUAAUGUUGAGAAACCAUCCUGACUCCUAAAUAAUACUUUGAUUCCAUUGCAAUGAAUGAAGAAGAAGGAAAUAAAGUAAGUAUCUCCAAACUGGUCACUACUAUUGGGUAUUUAUGGCUCCAACUAUUUUGCUACAAGAUAAGCAAUUAAAAUAAGGUAUUGUGUGCACCCAUACAUACAAAUUAUGCAAGAAAGUCAGAAAACAUUUACCUGGUGUAGAAAUAUUGUUACUUUUAUGUUUAUCUGUUUCUGUUAUUUUUCUAACAUACGAUUUACAGAUUGGAGAACAGAAGAUUAUCAAUUUAAUAGAAUGCUUCUGUUUUCAAGUAGUGGAAAAUUCAACUCAAACAGGCUUAAUUAAUAAAGUUAAUUGAUUGCUUUUGUGGCUGAAAAGUCUUUCAAGUAGUGCUCCAAAGUAUUAUCAGAACUUGUUUUAUCAUUUUUUUGCACAUGUUAACUCCUUUUUUGAGGUGUUUCCUUUAGUAAUUUAGGCUUAUUUCCUCAUAGUCCAAGAUGAAUGAUGUGGCUCCCAAGAAAUCAUAUUUCUGUAUUUCUAUCCAGCAGAGCAGAGGACUUUGGCCACAAAAUACUAAGAGAUGACUGGAUAUUCAUCCUAAUCAGAACAACUAAACCACAGGAUCACUUCUGAACAAAUAUCCAUCACCAGGCAGUCCAUGUGCCCCUCUGUACCUUGUAAUCGAGUCAGCUUCCUACACCAUGUGGUGUUUAUGGCAGCAAGGAACAGAUGUUCAUUAAAAUUAGGGUAGUAUACUGAGACAGAGAAUAAGUUUAGAAGUCAAGGAAACAAUGUCACACUCUGACUUUAACAUUAAACAUACACAUUAAAAUUUAUUCCUCUUGGCAGUAAUGCAUUUGGGCAAUGUGAAUAAAACACACAAAGAAAUCAUUUCAACCAAGUUUUCAAUGAAAAUAAUUCAUCUCUAAAAAGGAUUAAUGAGAACGAGGACACUUUACCUAAUUAGAUUGGGAUAAUUGAUACCUACCUUCACCCACAGCAAAACUCCAUAACCUUUUCCAUUUGCUUUUAUGAUAUCCCAAAAUAUCACUGCUAAUCAAAAGCUGUUGCAAGCUCCCAAGUUCAACUUCCCCUUUUAUCUUCUAAGCAGCCAUGAAUCCACUGCCCAGUUGUACUUACCUUCUGUCAUCCUUCUCCACACCAGUAAAAUGCUGAGUAACAAAAAGGCAGGAGGAACAUUAAGCCAUCACUGGCAAGGAACAAAGAGCUCACCCAACUCCAGCAUGUUGAGUUUGUGAUCAAGUUAGGAGAUUCAGUCAUUUAAAAACCACAUGCACAUGCAAAUUGAGACAUGCAAAUUGAGACAUACAUUUCUGCAUUAUAUAUAAUACUCUGGUGUUUACUCCAUAUAUUACCUUGUUUUAAAUUGCUUCCAUUGAGAAAGGUACACCGUAAGUUUUUUUCCUAAAGAGAUACUAAUUAUCAUUGGGUAGUGACUAAACCAAAAGUCAGAAUUUCCAUCUUCAGGGCUAUUUAAACCCACUAUACCUUCAUUUGUUUACAUUUGCUAGAAAGCAUUUAUUCUACUUCACAUGGCAGAAGAAACCUUACUCCUGCAAAAGUAAAUUCUUUUGCAUGAAAUCCAAAAGUAAGGUAAAGUGACUUGCCAGCUUUCCUCUAUAUCCCCUUUGAAUACAGAUUGUCAUUUUCCAGGUACUUCCAGCCUUGAGUAGUGGGAAAAUUUCAAGAUGUUCACUUCAUAGCAUCCAGACUUCAAUGAACUGCCCCAUCAAACUGUUCUGUGCAUUAAAUAAAUUGUGCAUUGGCAAUAAAUAUUCCCCUAGUUGAGGUUGGUGUUAAAAGGAUUUAAGAUGAAAAAUCUCAGCAAUAAAGUAUAUAUAUAACCAACAGCCUUGGAAAGAAAUCGAUUCAAUGUGGAUUUAAAAUCAAGUUUUACACAAACUUACAAGUGCUUUAAUAAAUUAUUAGGUAUUUUAUUCUAAUAAAAACUUGACUUUUAUGCUAAUCAACUAAGGAGAGAUGUAUUUGCUUUAGAUGAAUACUUCUAUAUAAUAAAACUUAAUUUACUUUCAAGAGCUCCUCUUUUAAUUACUACCAGCUUGUACACAAAAAGGAAAAAACACGUUGUAAAUUACAGUUAACUAUUUGAACUAUAUAGAAAGAUAUUCUAUUGCUUAAUCAUAACAUAAACUCAUUAUAAAGUAUUUGACAUAAUCAUAGUCCACUUCAGAAGAGUUGUUGAUAUUAAAUAAUACAUAAUUUUGUGUAUUAGAUGAAUAUUGAAGAUAAAAAGGCAAUAAAUGAAAAGGGUCUUCCACAGUACAUUUUUAUAAUUAAUAUUCAAAUUCUUUAAUUUGUUCCCACCCUAUGUCCUUCCUACUAAACCUGCCUUCAAUAUUCCUAACCCAGAACAGACACCACUGCCUCCUGCCUGGUAUUUCUGACCCCACUUGAUGAGGAAGUAGGGUGGGACCCAUGUUUCUCCCACACAGGAGUGAGGCAGUCAUUCCCCCACUGCUGACAGUCCAGACUGCUGGUUAUUUUCAACUGAGUCUCUUCAAAGUUUUCCAAAGCCAGGGGUUCUCUAACCUUAACAUGUAUUAGAAUCAUUGGGAGAGCUUAAAGAGUGGAUAGCUGAUGUCCCCAGAUUUCCGAUUUAGUAAAUCAUGGCAAGAUGUCCCAUAUUCUACCAUUUUAACAACCACCAAGGUGAUGAUGAUGAUGUUCUGGGAACUACACUUUGAAAAUCACUGUUUUAAGCUGAAGAGAGCUGCAUCACCCAAGAUCACACCCCCUACCCAGUAGCAGACCAGGUCCAUAGGGAGUAUAAAAGCCAGGCCCCUUGCCUCAAAGAGACAAAUCUAAAGCAUCAUCUCAGCUCCAGAUCUCCUGGUGGAAUUGGCUGAGGCAUUUAGCCUUGCAUUGUCCUUCAAUAUUCCCUCUGCCCAACCCUAUGUCCAUUCUUUUCCUAUAGCAGUUGAUCUUAUACGUAUUACAAGAGCCAAACUGAUCUAUUUAAUAUACUGAUCUAACAUUGUAAUGGUGUUUCAAUAUGACUAGAAUGCCCUCUAAACUUGUAGCUAUGUUUUGUAUUCUUCCCAAUUCUGGAAUAAUAAAACAUCUUAGCUUCUACUGGCUGUUAAUGCUGCUGGAGAAAGAGUGUACACAUUCAUAAUGUCCCAUUCCAAAUGAGUCCUCUGAACUGCCUGAUAGUACUAGACUGUGUCUAGGCAGUUUACUCUCUGACUUUCCAUGGUAACUUUUUUUCCCCAUUUUCUCCUUACCACCCACUCCACUAUUUCCUAACAUAUUCUCAGAAGUUGGCUUUUUCGCCACCUUACCUCACUGUACAAAUCAGAUCAAAGUCAUCCUCCACCUUUUCUUUCCCUAUUCCCAAAAUCUAGUCCAAUAUCAAGUUCUGAUUAAUUUAUUUACAAAAUUAUGUCUCAAAUUUUUCUGCAUCUUUCCUUCCAACUGUCCAUUGGUGCCAAUGGUAUAGGCAAAUAUUAUUUCUUACUCCAAUAACAUUAAAGCCUUUCUGACUAGACCCAGGUUUUUGCUAUCUCAAAUCUGUUUUCUACCUUGGCAAUAUUUCUAAAACAAAACAAAACAAAA